Long non-coding RNA from Ornithodoros turicata, 1102 nucleotides. RefSeq lists it as uncharacterized. The transcript is spliced from 4 exons. The record is from RefSeq and is a predicted model, not a curated record. Lineage: Eukaryota; Metazoa; Arthropoda; Arachnida; Ixodida; Argasidae.
UUGUAGGCUGUCUGUCGCGCAUGUGCAGUUUUGUUGGUUUUGUUCGGUCGCUUUGGCUGUACGGACGUUUCUCAUCGCCGCGAGUGCAACCCGUCCGAGAAAGAGCCCGUAAGGGGAAAUGUUUCUGCCAACCCCCAGCAGACCAGUCAGGCUCGUUUGAAAUGUCAAGUGAGGACGCGUACCUGUACCUGAAGCCAAAGUCGCUCUUCGCCAUCAGGAUUUUUGCCGUGUCAGAUUUCACUCCGUUUGCAGGCAAUCUGAACAACGAUAGGGAGAUGGAACGCAAGAUGAAACCGUGAGCGACUUUGUGCAGACGGUUAGGUGUGUAUGGCGCAACGUGCACCAGGAAGAAAGACGCAAGCAUUGUGUUGAAUGUGGCGGAGACUCAUGCACGUCAUUACAAGAUUUGCAAAUUCUUUGAGAAAGACAAGUUGGACCGGAAGUGAGAAUCUAUGUGCUUUUUUUAUUGUUGUUCACCGUCCGAUCACUGCGAAUUUUGUGCCCGCGUGAGACGAGCACUCAGGCAUGUUGAUGAUGAAUGGGGAUGCUUUCAGAGGUACGUACUCGUGAAUGGUGAAUAAAGUGAUUUCUUGCUGCUAUCUACUGUUUCGCGCGGGUUAUGAGCGUGGGACAUGAGCGGCUUACUUCGCAGAACAUUUCAGAAAGCAUGUAGACAGCGACUGGGAGGGGUGGUGAAUAGCUUGCCGUUGCUGGCCAUACAGCAGCAUUUUCAAGAUUGUCAUAACCACCAUUAAUGCAACUAUUGUGCCCAAUCAGCAUCAAGGCAGCCCUCAUGUUAGCAUCAGCAUCAGAGCGGCUCUAGUGUUAACAUCAGCCUGAACAUCUCUGUUAACAUUAGUAUCAGAGCAGCUCCACGUGUUAACAUGAGCAUCAAGACAGUGUCCCCAAUCACAUCAAACCUGAUAUCACCCGUCAAUAGGGAACACACCCAUAAACGUGUGUUACCACGGCAGCGCCUCUGCUACUCUGGUUACAUGCUAUGUAGUACAAUAUGGCAUAACCUCGUUCUCUACACAACCUGUAUAUUUUUGUCUCCAUUUUUCUAAAAAUGCUUAUAAACCCAGCAUAUGUAUAAGCUCCU